UUUAUAUUAAAAUAUUAGGGUUUCAUUCAUUUUUUUAUAACACCAUAUAUGGGAGAAGAAGAAGAAGAAGAAGAAUUAGAAGAAAACUAAAAGGAGAUUUGGAUUUUUAUGCUUAUACAAGUGAGUAGACGUUUCUUUGUUAUUGUUUCUAUUUCUGUUUUCUGAAAUUUCAGAUUGUUGACUCAUCUUUGAAAAAUCAUAGAAAAUUCGUUUGAAAAGCUUUUUAAUUGAUUCCAAAAACCCUGAACACUAUAUUGAAAUGUCUUCGUUCGAUUAGUUAAUACCAAUUUACGAAAGUUAUGUUAAUAGGGUAAAAAACGACUUGCAAGUAUGACAACCGUUGCAGUUUAUAGUUUCUGUACCAUUUUAGUAUUGUAAGGUUUUGAUCCCUCUAGAAUUAAUAAUAUUUACUGAAAAUUUUAAGAUAGUUAGAUUACUCAAUGUUUAACAACAUAUAUAAAUUUCAGAAUUUACUGUGGUGUAAUUAAUUCUAAAUAAUUUAUUCAACGUAGUUAUUUUCAGAUAUCUAGUAUAAUUUUACUGCUACCUUUCUGUUUGCGUGGCUGUCAUAAAAAAAUCAUAGAAGACUCGUUACUCAACAUAUCUUGAUGAAUUUACUUGUUUUAGAAAAUAGACCUUCUGAACUAUAAUUUCUAUGUUUAGAAAUACUUUAAAUUAUGAGGGUAAUACGGUGAAAAAUGGUCAGGAAGUCUGACGUAGAUUGUUUUGGGAUUUCUUUCUGAAAUCUGGUAGGAUUGAGUAAAACAAUUGUUUAAUUAUUUUCUAUAUAUUGAAACUAUUCCAGAUUUUUAUGCGAAGUAAUAUUUUCAUAGUAAAAGGUUGUAUUAAAAUUUUAUGAGAUUUGAGUAAUUAUUUUUAGAUGUGUGAAUUUGAAAGAUGAAUGUUAUUGUUUGGCAGAUUUAUGUAAAGAGUUUCUUUUUAGCAUAUAUGUUUUUCUUUGGGUUUGUCCUUUUGUUUGAUUGUCAAGUUGAAAUAGACACAACUAAAAGUAAUCUAAAUAUGGAAGUGGAUUAGUAUAUAAUGGCAUGUUAAUUGAUUAAUUAUGUUUAAAGUAACCUAGAAAGUUAUAUUGAUGAACGCCUAGAUAUGGCUCCAUACCAAUGGAUGGUAUAUGAAUAGAGAAACGAAAUGAGUACUGGACUUGAGAUUUAAUUAUAAAUGAUUUGGAAUGGUUUGAUACCAUGGACGGUAUAUAUUCGAUUUGAAAAAAAAGAACGGAAUACGAAAUGGACUUGAAAUUUAAUUGUUGGACAAGGGUUGUGUGAUUGCUUGAUUAGUUUAGUUGUUUGGUAGUCGCCCAAGCAUUAGUACAUUUGUCACACCUCUGGACUUAGGUUAAAGAAAUUAAUUAUCACCCUAGACGGCUUAGCCUGCGGGUUGACUCUUUGAUUAUAUUUGGGUAUUUCCUAGACGGCUUAGCCUGCGGAACUGACCCUUCAGACCUUCAUAGCCUUCGGGGUUGGUUUGGGCGCCACAUUAGAAAGCUCAAGGGAGCUAUUAGAGAUCAUGAGUUAGGCAUACGUCGAGGUUAGCCAAAACUUGCAGGUGAGCACCCACUUGGGUUUUGGUUUCCGCAUAGAGGUUCUUAACCAUGGUCAAGGCACACUGGUGCAGUGUGGGUAUGGCAAAUGUGUGGAGUGCAUCCUGUGGGAGGUGUACUAGUGAUUGGGCAUAGGUUGUGAUUUUAUGAUUAUUAAACCCGAGCACCGGCUAGAGGCCAGGACGAGAUUUUGUGAUUUUGGAUUCGUUGUUUGGUAGUGUGCUAAAGCUUAUGGUAUUGUAGUGCUUGGUGUUAAUUAAUGAUAUGGGUAAAUUUUAUUUACUUUGAUUAUGAACCAGAGGUAACUAUGAUUAUGUGGAAGAACUGUGAUGUUUUAUUUAUUAUGGGAAUUAAUAGUAAUAAUUGGACUUGUCAUUUUGGUAGAUUACAAACUAUGAAUAGUUGGAAUGAAUCAUUAUUAAUGGUUUGAAUGAACGAAAUGUAUUUUUAGGUUGAUACAAAGUAUUAGAUAACACGUAACGUGUAUGUGAUUUGGUUUAUCUUUAUUAUAUUUGUGUAUUAUAUAUUAACUCCAUUUUGCAGGUGGAUAGGUCAACUAAUUUAUUUUGUGCAGGUGGAUAGACCUAUCCUUAAAGACAGUUGCUGCUUAGGUAAUGUAUUUGUAUUAUCGAUCAAUUAACAUCGUAAAUAGAUAAAUUAGAAUUGAAUAAUGAAGUUAAGCAUGUGAUUAUAUAAUGGAUAAAUUGUUUAAAUAUAAUGGAAUUGAUAUGGUUUUUGGUGUAUGUUUAUUGUCUUAGCAUGGAAGAAUUGUUCUUGAAGGUUAAUUAUGUUGUUAAUCAUAUGUUGGAACUUUAUAUUUAUUAUGUUAUUUUGUGGGAAUAGAUUUCCCCGUUGUUUACUCAUACCGGCUUUUAUGCUGACCCAUGUUGCUUUGUUUUGCACGUCGGUGUGUUCCAUUUGGAAUGCAGGCAGGAGAGGUUAGAGCUAUGGAGCUGUGACAGACCGCUUGUUGUGACCAGUAGAGAUUUUUAGAUGUUCCAGUCAUGUAUUUUUUUGAAAGUGGUAUUCAUGUAUUUUGUUGGCGUAAGUUGUGUUGUAUAAUAGGAUGGAAUCAGGAGUACUUUUAUCGUUUGGAUUUUCUUUACUGUAUUUUAUUUAAGAUUUUUGUUGGACCUGGUUUUUGAGUUAGAAAUUGUUG
This 2720-nucleotide long non-coding RNA is filed under the name Aquilegia coerulea. Its description in RNAcentral is "long non-coding RNA (ACOE_LNC000524)". The record is from RNAcentral. Lineage: Eukaryota; Viridiplantae; Streptophyta; Magnoliopsida; Ranunculales; Ranunculaceae.